Long non-coding RNA from Alosa sapidissima (American shad), 550 nucleotides. RefSeq lists it as uncharacterized. The transcript is spliced from 4 exons. The record is from RefSeq and is a predicted model, not a curated record. NCBI's taxonomy places the organism in Eukaryota, Metazoa, Chordata, Actinopteri, Clupeiformes, Clupeidae.
GAGAGUUGCCCCAUUUGAUUGUCACUGACGUCCACUGCACAGGAGCUUUUCCUUUGGAUAGACUUAUUAUGAGUAACCAGCUAGCCAUGGCUACUAUGAAGUCGCCAGGAAAUCUGGAGGAAUGAGGUCAGGUCGAACGCUGGCAUCCCAUGAGGACUCACUGUCCAUCUGGUUUAUGACAAAAGCAGACUGCCUCAUUCGUCAUCCAGCGCACACUGGAUUCAUGUUCGCUACAUGACAUCGCCUGGGCAAUGGAACCUUCCAGAAGAUGACAAGGAAGAGAGACGUAAAACAUCUCAGCACUACACCUGAAAGAAGAAGUCUGCUGCUUGCCAUGACUCCAGGUACACAAGGUCUGAUGGUCGUGAUCACACCUGGCUUUUGUAUACUGAUGUGUCUGGCCUUCACUGCCACGGUAAGCCCUUUCACAUUGGAUCCCCAAUCCACACUGAUGUGUAGUGGUGUUAACAACCGCAAUCAAAUUUAGGAUAUCAGAUCAAAAUUGGGAUGUAUAUUGGAAGAGAACUGUGAAGAAUCCAUAUAUCCCUAA